This 249-nucleotide unclassified non-coding RNA is filed under the name uncultured fungus. Its description in RNAcentral is "partial contains 5.8S ribosomal RNA, internal transcribed spacer 2, and large subunit ribosomal RNA". Lineage: Eukaryota; Fungi. The record is from RNAcentral.
AACGCACAUUGCGCCCCUUGGUAUUCCAUGGGGCAUGCCUGUUCGAGCGUCAUUUGUACCCUCAAGCUCUGCUUGGUGUUGGGUGUUUGUCUUUUCCUCUGCGAUUAGACUCGCCUUAAAGUAAUUGGCAGCCAGUGUUUUGGUAGUAAAGCGCAGCACAAUUUGCGCCUUAUCCCCUAAGCUGUGGCAACCAUGAAGCCUCUUCUCACUUUUGACCUCGGAUCAGGUAGGGAUACCCGCUGAACUUAA